CAAUAGCGUAUAUUUAAGUUGUUGCAGUUAAAAAGCUCGUAGUUGGAUUUCGGUUAAGAGCGACCGGUCCGCCGUUUGGUGUGCACUGGUUGGUUUUAACUUCCUGUAGAGGACGUGCUCUGGGUUUAACGACCUGGACUCGGAGUCUACGUGGUUACUUUGAAAAAAUUAGAGUGUUCAAAGCGGGCUUACGCUUGAAUAUUUCAGCAUGGAAUAACACUAUAGGACUCCUGUCCUAUCUCGUUGGUCUCGGGACGGGAGUAAUGAUUAAGAGGAACAGUUGGGGGCAUUCGUAUUUCAUUGUCAGAGGUGAAAUUCUUGGAUUUAUGAAAGACGAACUUCUGCGAAAGCAUUUGCCAAGGAUGUUUNCAUUAA
This 375-nucleotide ribosomal RNA is filed under the name uncultured eukaryote. RNAcentral describes it as "partial 18S ribosomal RNA". It matches the Rfam family "Eukaryotic small subunit ribosomal RNA", at positions 592 to 976 of the family's 1831-position model. The record is from RNAcentral.